RNAcentral lists this long non-coding RNA (1096 nucleotides) under Oryctolagus cuniculus (rabbit). Its description in RNAcentral is "lncRNA (ENSOCUG00000033692.1)". Lineage: Eukaryota; Metazoa; Chordata; Mammalia; Lagomorpha; Leporidae. The record is from RNAcentral.
AUGGUGGCUGAGGAGAGGAUGUGUAAAUCAGAAAGAUAUUUAGGGAUAAAAUGGGCAGGACUUGGGUGUGCAUUGCAGAGAACUGGAGGAGAGGGAAUUGCUCAAGAGGACUCAACUACAGGCUUGAACCGCUGGGUGGAUGGCUGUGUGGCUGAAAGGGAGACAGAGGAGAGAGGAUGUGGGUGGUCGGGUGGGAGCUGGAUGCCAGUGGGCCAGGAGAGGAUGUGGGUGAACGGCUGGGGGCGGGCCACGUGGAAACAUCCAGUGACAACUUAGCACUGAAAAGAAGGAUGAGGAGAGGCAAGAGCAAGGUGGGAGAUGCAUGUUGGGGGAAGCUUUUCUUUCAGGAUGAAGGGGAUCAGUGAGCAGCCAGAGAGGCGCUGUGGAGAAGCAGGACUAAGACAAGGAUAGGAGAAGAGGAAGGAGGUCAGAGGGAGGAGAGAGAGACUGUGUGAUGUGAAGAGAAAUGCAUCUCCCCAUGUCCUCCGUCAGGUCUCGGGGAAUGUGAGCCAAAGGCUGGUGUUGGGAAGGCACAGGCAAGCCUGGGCUGGUGGCCUGGAGGAGCCCCAGGGGAGGCAGGAGGGACCGACCACGUGGCUGACAGGUGUACUGCAGGGGCUCUGCUGUGUGUGCAGUGUGCACUUCUCUCCCCCAAUGUACAGCAGCUCAGGGAGACAGGAGCACUGGCAAUGGGGUGUGACGCGGGGCUGAGGGCUCAGCAGCGCUGGCUGGCAUGGUGCUGAGAGCUUGGUUGGAAAGAACCAUGCUUGGCUCCACACCAUGCAGGUGAACCAGUGGAGCCAGGGACAGGAAGAAAGCAAACACUGCCUCUAAUGCCUCGUUCUGUCUCCCAGCUCCCAGACCCACAGCAGCUUCCCUUAGAUAUUUCCUUGUUUAACUUGUCCUCUCUCCUCUGCUGGGGGAUACUUUCCAAGACCCCCAGGUUCUGCCUGAAACUGCAGAUAGCACCAAACCCUAUACAUGCUAACGAUACCAUGUUUUUUCCUAUGCAUUCAAACCUCUGAUAAAGUUUAUUUUUAAUUAGGCACAGGAAGAGAUGGACAACAACAGUAAUAAAAUAGAACUAAUAAACCCA